GAUGAACGCUGGCGGCGUGCCUAACACAUGCAAGUCGAGCGAAGUUUAGAGGAAGUGCUUGCACGGAAUCGAAGACUUAGCGGCGGACGGGUGAGUAACGCGUGAGCAACCUACCUUUCACAGGGGAAUAACAACGGGAAACCGUUGCUAAUACCGCAUGAUAUUAAGAGAAGACAUCUUCUUUUAGUCAAAGGAGCAAUCCGGUGAAAGAUGGGCUCGCGUCCGAUUAGCUAGUUGGUAAGGUAAAGGCUUACCAAGGCAACGAUCGGUAGCCGAACUGAGAGGUUGACCGGCCACAUUGGGACUGAGACACGGCCCAGACUCCUACGGGAGGCAGCAGUGGGGAAUAUUGGGCAAUGGGCGAAAGCCUGACCCAGCAACGCCGCGUGAAGGAUGAAGGCCUUAGGGUUGUAAACUUCUUUGAUCAGGGAAGAAAAAAAUGACGGUACCUGAAGAACAAGCCACGGCUAACUACGUGCCAGCAGCCGCGGUAAUACGUAGGUGGCAAGCGUUAUCCAGAUUUACUGGGUGUAAAGGGCGUGCAGGCGGGUUUGUAAGUCAGAUGUGAAAUCUCCAGGCUUAACUUGGAAACUGCAUCUGAAACUACAAAUCUUGAGUACUGGAGAGGAUAGUGGAAUUCCUAGUGUAGCGGUAAAAUGCGUAGAUAUUAGGAGGAACACCAGUGGCGAAGGCGGCUAUCUGGACAGUAACUGACGCUGAGGCGCGAAAGCGUGGGUAGCAAACAGG
This 747-nucleotide ribosomal RNA is filed under the name uncultured bacterium. RNAcentral's name for it is "bacterial SSU rRNA". It matches the Rfam family "Bacterial small subunit ribosomal RNA", at positions 28 to 776 of the family's 1533-position model. The record is from RNAcentral.